Molecule: ribosomal RNA, 404 nt
Filed under: uncultured bacterium
Lineage: Bacteria
Description: bacterial SSU rRNA
Rfam family: Bacterial small subunit ribosomal RNA
Source: RNAcentral
UCGCACGGUCAGCAAUGGCAGUGGCGGACGGGUGAGUAACACGUAGGAAUCUAUCCCAGGGNUGGGGGACAACAGCGGGAAACUGCUGCUAAUACCGCAUGAUACCUGAGGGUCAAAGGCGCAAGUCGCCUUGGGAGGAGCCUGCGUCUGAUUAGCUUGUUGGUGAGGUAAAGGCUCACCAAGGCUACGAUCAGUAGCUGGUCUGAGAGGACGACCAGCCACACUGGGACUGAGACACGGCCCAGACUCCUACGGGAGGCAGCAGUGGGGAAUNUUGGACAAUGGGCGANAGCCUGAUGCAGCAACGCCGCGUGAGGGAUGACGGCCUUCGGGUUGUAACCUCUUUUAGUAGGGAAGAAAGCGAAGUGACGGUACCUGCAGAANAAGCACCGGCUAACUACGUG